RNAcentral lists this ribosomal RNA (2086 nucleotides) under Crustomastix stigmatica. RNAcentral describes it as "partial Bacterial large subunit ribosomal RNA". It matches the Rfam family "Bacterial large subunit ribosomal RNA", at positions 1 to 2151 of the family's 2925-position model. The record is from RNAcentral. Lineage: Eukaryota; Viridiplantae; Chlorophyta; Mamiellophyceae; Dolichomastigales; Crustomastigaceae.
AUUGAAAGGGCGCAUGGCGGAUUCCUAGGCAUCUAGAGGCGAUGAAGGGCGUGACUACCGACGAAACGCUCCAGGGAGCCGGAAAAAGGUUUUGAUCUGGAGAUUCCCGAAUGGGGCAACCCACAUAUUCCUUGCAGAAUUCAUACGCAAGAGAAAGCAAACUCGGGGAACUGAAACAUCUUAGUACCCGAAGGAAGAGAAAGCAAACGCGAUUCCCCUAGUAGCGGCGAGCGAACGGGGAGCAGCCCUUAAGCUGUUUAGAAUUUAGUGGAAUCCUUUGGGAAGAGGAGCGAUACAAGGUGAUAGCCCUGUACACGACGGAUUCUUUACAGUGAAAUCGAGUAGGUCGGGACACGUGUUAUCUUGACUGAAUAUGGGGGGACCAUCCUCCAAGGCUAAAUACUCCUAACUGACCGAUAGUGAACCAGUACCGUGAGGGAAAGGCGAAAAGAACCCCUGUGAGGGGAGUGAAAUAGAACCUGAAACCGUAUACGUACAAGCAGUGGGAGCCACUUCGUGUGGUGACUGCGUACCUUUUGUAUAAUGGGUCAGCGACUUAUAUUUAGUAGCAAGGUUAAGUGAAUAACGGAGCCGUAGCGAAAGCGAGUGUUAACUGCGCGUUUAGUUGCUAGGUAUAGACCCGAAACCCGGUGAUCUAGCCAUGGGCAGGUUGAAGGUUGAGUAACAUCAACUGGAGGACCGAACCCACUAACUUUGAAAAGUUAGGGGAUGACCUGUGGCUGGGGGUGAAAGGCCAAUCAAACCGGGAGAUAGCUGGUUCUCCCCGAAAUCUAUUUAGGUAGAGCCUCGGACGAAUUCCAUUGGGGGUAGAGCACUGUUAAGGCUAGGGGGUCAUCCCGACUUACCAACCCUUUGCAAACUCCGAAUACCAAUGAGAACUAUCCGGGAGACACACGGCGGGUGCUAACGUCCGUCGUGGAGAGGGAAACAACCCAGACCGCCAGCUAAGGUCCCAAAAUAUUGCUAAGUGGGAAACGAUGUGGGAAGGCAUAGACAGCUAGGAGGUUGGCUUAGAAGCAGCCACCCUUUAAAGAAAGCGUAAUAGCUCACUAGUCGAGUCGGCCUGCGCGGAAGAUGUAACGGGGCUAAGCAAUAUACCGAAGCUGCGGCAGCAUGUUUACAUGCUGGGUAGGGGAGCGUUGUGUAAGUGGAUGAAGGUGAGUUGUAAAGCUUGCUGGACAUAUCACAAGUGCGAAUGCUGACAUGAGUAACGAUAAUGGGAGUGAAAAACUCCCACGCCGGAAGACCAAGGUUUCCUGUCCCAUGCUAAUCAGGGCAGGGUAAGUCGGCCCCUAAGGCGAGGCAGAAAUGCGUAGUCGAUGGGAAACGGGUUAAUAUUCCCGUACUUAUAUAAUCAGUGAUGGAGGGACGGAGAAGGCUAGGCAAGCUUGGCGUUGGUUGUCCAAGUGAAAGUGAGUAGGCUGAAGACUUAGGUAAAUCCGGGUUUUCAAGGCCGAGACACGAGACGAGCUCCCAAGGGAGUGAAGUUGUUGAUGCCCUGCUUCCAGGAAAAGCUUCUAAACUUAUGAUUAUAUGAACCGUACCCCAAACCGACACAGGUGGUCAGGUAGAGAAUACUAAGGCGCUUGAGAGAACUCGGGUGAAGGAACUCGGCAAAAUUGUACCGUAACUUCGGGAGAAGGUACGCCUCUGUUUGUGAACACUUCGCGUGGUAAGCAAAUGGAGGCCGCAGUGACCAGGUGGCUGGGACUGUUUAUUAAAAACACAGCACUCUGCAAACUCGUAAGAGGACGUAUAGGGUGUGACACCUGCCCGGUGCCGGAAGGUUAAUUGAUGGGGUUAGUUUUCGGACGAAGCUCUUGAUCGAAGCCCCGGUAAACGGCGGCCGUAACAAUAACGGUCCUAAGGUAGCGAAAUUCCUUGACAGGUAAGUUCUGUCCCGCAUGAAUGGUGUCACGACUGCCCCACUGUCUCCAUUGUGGACUCAGCGAAAUUGAAGUGCCCGUGCAGAUGCGGGCUUGAAGCAGCAAGACGGGAAGACCCUGUGCACCUUGACUUGACCCUUGCACUGAAGCAGAAAGGUUUGCUGAAAAGAAUAUGUGGC